AGCGACAGGCCUAACACAUGCAAGUCGAGGGGCGAGCGACAAGGAGCAAUCUGAGUGGCGACCGGCGCACGGGUGAGUAACACGUAUGCAACCUGCCUGUAAGCGGGGAAUAACCCGUUCGAAAGACGGACUAAUACCGCAUAAUACUAAAUUACUGCAUGGUAAUUUAUUUAAACAUUUAUGGCUUACAGAUGGGCAUGCGCAUGAUUAGCUAGUUGGAGAGGUAACGGCUCCCCAAGGCAACGAUCAUUAGGGGUUCUGAGAGGAAGGUCCCCCACACUGGUACUGAGACACGGACCAGACUCCUACGGGAGGCAGCAGUGAGGAAUAUUGGUCAAUGGACGAGAGUCUGAACCAGCCAAGUCGCGUGCAGGAAGAAUGUCCUUAAUGGAUUGUAAACUGCUUUUGCAGGGGAAUAAAGUGCAUCACGUGUGAUGUUUUGUAUGUACUCUGCGAAUAAGGAUCGGCUAACUCCGUGCCAGCAGCAGC
RNAcentral lists this ribosomal RNA (489 nucleotides) under uncultured bacterium. Its description in RNAcentral is "bacterial SSU rRNA". It matches the Rfam family "Bacterial small subunit ribosomal RNA", at positions 39 to 518 of the family's 1533-position model. The record is from RNAcentral.